RNAcentral lists this ribosomal RNA (1452 nucleotides) under Bacillus subtilis. RNAcentral's name for it is "bacterial SSU rRNA". It matches the Rfam family "Bacterial small subunit ribosomal RNA". Lineage: Bacteria; Bacillati; Bacillota; Bacilli; Caryophanales; Bacillaceae. The record is from RNAcentral.
CUGGCGGCAGCCUAUACAUGCAGUCGAGCGGACAGAUGGGAGCUUGCUCCCUGAUGUUAGCGGCGGACGGGUGAGUAACACGUGGGUAACCUGCCUGUAAGACUGGGAUAACUCCGGGAAACCGGGGCUAAUACCGGAUGCUUGUUUGAACCGCAUGGUUCAAACAUAAAAGGUGGCUUCGGCUACCACUUACAGAUGGACCCGCGGCGCAUUAGCUAGUUGGUGAGGUAAUGGCUCACCAAGGCGACGAUGCGUAGCCGACCUGAGAGGGUGAUCGGCCACACUGGGACUGAAACACGGCCCAAACUCCUACGGGAGGCAGCAGUAGGGAAUCUUCCGCAAUGGACGAAAGUCUGACGGAGCAACGCCGCGUGAGUGAUGAAGGUUUUCGGAUCGUAAAGCUCUGUUGUUAGGGAAGAACAAGUACCGUUCGAAUAGGGCGGUACCUUGACGGUACCUAACCAGAAAGCCACGGCUAACUACGUGCCAGCAGCCGCGGUAAUACGUAGGUGGCAAGCGUUGUCCGGAAUUAUUGGGCGUAAAGGGCUCGCAGGCGGUUUCUUAAGUCUGAUGUGAAAGCCCCCGGCUCAACCGGGGAGGGUCAUUGGAAACUGGGGAACUUGAGUGCAGAAGAGGAGAGUGGAAUUCCACGUGUAGCGGUGAAAUGCGUAGAGAUGUGGAGGAACACCAGUGGCGAAGGCGACUCUCUGGUCUGUAACUGACGCUGAGGAGCGAAAGCGUGGGGAGCGAACAGGAUUAGAUACCGUGGUAGUCCACGCGUAAACGAUGAGUGCUAAGUGUUAGGGGGUUUCCGCCCCUUUAGUGCUGCAGCUAACGCAUUAAGCACUCCGCCUGGGGAGUACGGUCGCAAGACUGAAACUCAAAGGAAUUGACGGGGGCCCGCACAAGCGGUGGAGCAUGUGGUUUAAUUCGAAGCAACGCGAAGAACCUUACCAGGUCUUGACAUCUUCUGACAAUCCUAGAGAUAGGACGUCCCCUUCGGGGGCAGAGUGACAGGUGGUGCAUGGUUGUCGUCAGCUCGUGUCGUGAGAUGUUGGGUUAAGUCCCGCAACGAGCGCAACCCUUGAUCUUAGUUGCCAGCAUUCAGUUGGGCACUCUAAGGUGACUGCCGGUGACAAACCGGAGGAAGGUGGGGAUGACGUCAAAUCAUCAUGCCCCUUAUGACCUGGGCUACACACGUGCUACAAUGGACAGAACAAAGGGCAGCGAAACCGCGAGGUUAAGCCAAUCCCACAAAUCUGUUCUCAGUUCGGAUCGCAGUCUGCAACUCGACUGCGUGAAGCUGGAAUCGCUAGUAAUCGCGGAUCAGCAUGCCGCGGUGAAUACGUUCCCGGGCCUUGUACACACCGCCCGUCACACCACGAGAGUUUGUAACAACCCGAAAGUCGGUGAGGUAACUUUUUAGGAGCCAGCCGCCGAAGUGGAUAGAAU